This 59-nucleotide ribosomal RNA is filed under the name Paenibacillus pabuli. The record is from RNAcentral. Lineage: Bacteria; Bacillati; Bacillota; Bacilli; Caryophanales; Paenibacillaceae. RNAcentral also lists the same sequence under 1 other name.
CCUCUAGCGCCGAUGGUACUUGGACCGCAGGGUCCUGGGAGAGUAGGACGCCGCCAAGC